UGUAGUCAUAUGCUUGUCUCAAAGAUUAAGCCAUGCAUGUCUAAGUAUAAGCAAUUAUACAGCGAAACUGCGAAUGGCUCAUUAAAUCAGUUAUCGUUUAUUUGAUAGUACCUUACUACAUGGAUAACCGUGGUAAUUCUAGAGCUAAUACAUGCUAAAAACCCCGACUUCGGAAGGGGUGUAUUUAUUAGAUUAAAAACCAAUGCCCUUCGGGGCUCCCUGGUGAUUCAUAAUAACUUCUCGAAUCGCACGGCCUUGCGCCGGCGAUGGUUCAUUCAAAUUUCUGCCCUAUCAACUUUCGACGGCAGGGUCUUGGCCUGCCAUGGUGACAACGGGUAACGGAGGGUUAGGGCUCGACCCCGGAGAAGGAGCCUGAGAAACGGCUACUACAUCCAAGGAAGGCAGCAGGCGCGCAAAUUACCCAAUCCCGACUCGGGGAGGUAGUGACAAUAAAUACUGAUACAGGGCUCUUUUGGGUCUUGUAAUUGGAAUGAGUACAAUUUAAAUCCCUUAACGAGGAUCAAUUGGAGGGCAAGUCUGGUAAUCG
Molecule: ribosomal RNA, 547 nt
Filed under: uncultured eukaryote
Lineage: Eukaryota
Description: SSU rRNA
Rfam family: Eukaryotic small subunit ribosomal RNA
Source: RNAcentral